This 580-nucleotide ribosomal RNA is filed under the name uncultured bacterium. RNAcentral describes it as "bacterial SSU rRNA". It matches the Rfam family "Bacterial small subunit ribosomal RNA", at positions 9 to 611 of the family's 1533-position model. The record is from RNAcentral.
GAGUUUGAUCCUGGCUCAGGAUGAACGCUGGCGGCGUGCCUAAUACAUGCAAGUCGAACGAGGAGGAGCAAUCCUUCGAGUGGCGAACGGGUGAGUAACGCGUUGGUGACCUGCCCCGAAGUGUGGGAUACCAGGCCGAAAGGCCUGCUAAUACCGCAUGGUCAACUGGGAGACUAGAGACCUGGUUGUAAAGUCGAAAGACGCUUUGGGAGGGGCCUGCGUCCCAUCAGCUAGUUGGUAAGGUAACGGCUUACCAAGGCGAUGACGGGUAGGGGACCUGAGAGGGUGACCCCCCACAAUGGAACUGAAACACGGUCCAUACACCUACGGGUGGCAGCAGUAGGGAAUAUUGCAUAAUGGGCGCAAGCCUGAUGCAGCAACGCCGCGUGCGCGAUGAAGGCCUUCGGGUUGUAAAGCGCUUUUAGCUGGGAAGAGCAAGGACGGUACCAGCAGAAUCAGCCUCGGCCAACUACGUGCCGGCAGCCGCGGUAAAACGUAGGAGGCGAGCGUUAUCCGGAUUUACUGGGUGUAAAGCGCGUGCAGGCGGUUUACUAAGUUGGGUGUGAAAGCUCCUGGCUCA